Molecule: ribosomal RNA, 1937 nt
Filed under: Triticum aestivum (bread wheat)
Lineage: Eukaryota; Viridiplantae; Streptophyta; Magnoliopsida; Poales; Poaceae
Description: partial small subunit ribosomal RNA
Source: RNAcentral
CUCUCUCUCCCCCCCUACGCUGGCUGCUGCCGCUGCAGACUGCACGCACCCUAAAGCAGCGAGCCUUUCCACCUCUCCUCUCCUCUCCUCUCCCUGCCACCCCACCCACACACCACCGCCACCACCCCGCCUCGGCCUCGGCUGCGGCGCCCUGUGUCUCCGCCUCUCCGGAGCGGGAGCGGCCGCCGCCGCCCGCCGCCGCCAUGUCCGGGCUGUACGGCCAGCAGGGGUUCUCCCCUUCCAGGAACCUAUCCCCCCAGAUUAGAAGCAACCCAGAUGUCGAUAGGUAGAGGCGGCGCACGGAUUUUUCUUGGUUUCUUUGCUUGUUUCUUGGCCAAUUCGUGGUGGCAAGAUUGGUUUUUUAUUUAUUAUUAUCGUGCGCUGUGUUUUCUUUUCUUCCUGUUGGGUUUGGUCGCUUUGAUGGGUGAAUGGAGAUGGUGAUGUGAUUGCUCUGUAAUUAAUGGUUUUGUGCAGCCAGUACUUGGCCGAGCUGCUCGCCGAGCACCAGAAGCUGGGGCCUUUCAUGCAGGUGCUGCCCAUAUGCAGCAAGCUGCUGAGCCAAGAGAUUAUGCGGGUGUCAAACUCUGCCCACAACCCUGGAUUCAGUGAUUUCGAUAGACAUCGAUUCAGAAGUCCUAGUCCAAUGUCUUCACCAAAUCCAAGAUCCAAUCUCUCUGGCAAUGGGUUUAGUCCUUGGAAUGGACUGCACCAAGAGAGGUUAGGUUUUCCUCAAGGAAAUAGUAUGGAUUGGCAAGGAGCGCCACCAAGCCCUAGCUCUCAUGUCAUGAAGAAGAUUCUACGCUUGGAGGUCCCAGUUGAUUCUUAUCCGAGUUUCAAUUUUGUGGGACGUAUUCUAGGACCUAGAGGCAAUUCUCUAAAGCGGGUAGAAGCAUCUACUGGUUGUCGCGUUUUCAUCAGAGGAAAGGGUUCCAUCAAAGAUCCAGGGAAGGAGGACAAGCUGCGAGGAAAACCAGGCUAUGAGCAUCUGAGUGAACAACUUCAUAUCUUGAUAGAGGCUGAGUUCCCAGCCAAUAUUAUUGAUGCCAGAUUGAGACAUGCACAGGAAAUUCUAGAAGAACUGCUAAAGCCAGUGGAUGAGACACAGGAUAUCUACAAGAGGCAACAGCUCCGGGAGCUGGCUAUGCUAAACUCAACCCUGCGAGAGGACAGCCCUCAUCCGGGGAGCGUCUCCCCAUUCAGCAAUGGUGGCAUGAAGCGUGCGAAAACAGGCCAGUAGGGAAGGAGCCACCCCUCAUCGUUACCGGUAUUGUCCAGGUGCCUUAUGUGCCCCCCAAUGGGGACGCCAUGUCUCCGGGCAACGUUUGCCGCGGGCGCACUUGAAGGAAGCGACGCCCUGCAUUUCGCUAGACGAGUCAGUAUGAGUCUGCGGUCUCUCCUGCGGACAAGGAGAAGCCGCUGGGACAGUGGAAGUAGUAGAGUCCUGGGUCGGUGGGUCGGCCCAGCUUUGGUUGCUGUAAGGUCCUAGAACAUUCGCUUUAUUUGUUAAUUGACUGUUAACCCUAGUAAUGUGGUGCUAUGAUGGUAGGUGAUCUCCAUGACAGACAGACUAGAGAGGCCCGAGUAUGUGAGCUUUCAUGUUUUCCUUUUCACCCCCUGUUAGGCGUCGGAACUUCCUUGUAUAUUAUCCACCCUUCUGCAUUAUGGAGUCGCGGAUAAUAAUAAAAAAGGGUAUAAGGAUCAUCAGCUUGUGCCUUGUGGAGUUGUCGUGUCUGGUUCAGACCGUGGAGGUUUCGAACCGACAAAGUCGAAGUCUGGUUUUUAAUGUCAUCAGUGUUCAUGGAUCUUUGUGGUUUAUAUUGUUGAACUGUGAUGAAUUUGUUGCAGUUUUGGGUUCUGGCAUGUUUGUUUGCCUCUGCUUGGCAUCACAGAUGGGAUGUUACUGCUGGGAAUCCCGUGGGAGACGUUUGCCGCGGUAA